Molecule: long non-coding RNA, 1843 nt
Filed under: Paramuricea clavata
Lineage: Eukaryota; Metazoa; Cnidaria; Anthozoa; Malacalcyonacea; Plexauridae
Source: RNAcentral
UUCAGUACAUUUGCUGACAAAUUCCUGAAAACUCUGAGUGAUGAGUUAUUGAAUCAAUAUGACACUCUUAUCAAUGAACCGUCCAAUGACUGGGAUAUUUAUUACUGGAUGACUGGAGUUAAGGAAACACCUCAGAAAUAUGACAAUAAGGUGAUGGACAUGUUGAAAAAACAUGCGCAAAAUGAGGAGAUGGAGGUUAGAAUUCGACAGCCUGAUCUGAAGUUUUAGUUUCCUGGUUCUGAUAAAAAAUCUGUUGUCUGGGUACAAAUUAACCACAGGUUUUGUUUCGUACUGUAACUUGUACACAAUUUGUUAUGAAUGUGUUAGUUGGACCUUUCCAAAUGCUUGAAAAAAACAUGACUUUGGUAACUAUAUAAUGCGGCUGCAUUAUUACCACCGCUUUCCUACUAAUAGAACGUUUAAUCAAUAUACCCCGGUUCCUGUUGACGGCUACACGUGAUAUACACGUAUCCGUACCCGUAAAUGAAGUCCACCAUUGAUCAGGGAAAAAUUGACGAGCAUACGUGAGUGAUUCAGGUAAAAUGUUGAAGUAUUUUUACUUCAACGGCCCACAAAUAGUAAACAGAACACACCCGUACCCACUUGUCUUUUACGUCUGGUGAAACUUUAGGGUAGAAAUUACGAGUAAACAUGCUGACAUCAGUAAACAUUGGUAAACAAAAUGGCGACACUUGUACCCGUAAACCGGAACGGGAGUUUCUUAACUUGUCUAAUGUAUAAUUCUUUCCCCACCACGCAAAUUGGCUUCCUACUGUAAAUUUCCAACCUAGCAAAUAGACCUUUCCCCUUAUGAGUGAGAUCAAGAUCUAGAUACGCCUGGACAAAAAAUUCUUCACAGCUUGAAAGAGCAUCUCAAAAUUAGUAAUAUCCCGAAGUUUCGUUGCGAAAAGUUGUAAAAUGCGGAUAAUAUAGCCUUGCGAAGUUUGCCGUUUUUCAGUCAUUUUGUAUUACAAACGGGAAAUUGAUAAUCAGUUGAUCAAACUGAUUAUCAAUUUCCCAUUUGUAAUACAAAAUGACUGAAAAACGGCAAACUUCGCAAGGCUAUAUAUUAUCCGCAUUUUACAACAUUUCGCAACGAAACUUCGGAAAAUUACUAAUUUUGUGAUGCUCUUUCAAGCCGUGAUGGAAAUUUUUGUCCAGACUUGUCUAGAUCAAAAUUUCACUCAAAAGGGGAAAGAUCUAUUGGGCCAGACCUGCUAGCCGCGUGCAUAUUGAAACUGCCCCUAAACAGUUUUCAUCAGUGAGCAGAAACAAAAUGUCAGUGUAUUAAAAAAACAUACGUUAUUUUGUAUUAGUUUGUUGCAAUCUAGGGUUCGAACCACCUAUAGGAUGGCUAAUUAAGUUUGAGUUUACGGUAUUGUAUAACUCUAAGGUUUGAGUUAAAUAUUAAUGCGCGGGUUGGCUAAUAUAGUCUAUGACACAAUAAGGUCACUGCUAUUGCGGUGACGAACACGCAAAUACUGUAAGAAGCAUUAUACCUCGGUUAAUAUUGUAUUAUAUGAAACUCAGUCGUUGUGUAAUAUACCACUUUGUAGUUGAAAGUAAAUUUAACUGUGUUAAAUAUAAAUUGGCUGCAAAUUCGACACUAUACUCGUGCAGUAUCUUUUCUUUCUUAUCAAUUUGGGACUGACUCUAAAUUAGUAAUGUUUUCUUCUUAUGAAUAUUAAUAAACGCGUCGUUGAAUGCUAAGCAUAAAUUUAAACUACUACAGGACUUUGAUUACUUCCAGUAGUCGAUCCCUAUCACGGGCCGAUGUUCCAGGUAAUUUCUAAUACAAAAAGGUUUAAAAUGUACAAUUGGAUGAACAUUUUUUAAUAAACAG